RNAcentral lists this ribosomal RNA (449 nucleotides) under uncultured bacterium. RNAcentral describes it as "bacterial SSU rRNA". It matches the Rfam family "Bacterial small subunit ribosomal RNA", at positions 354 to 796 of the family's 1533-position model. The record is from RNAcentral.
GUUGGGAAUCUUGCGCAAUGGGGGAAACCCUGACGCAGCGACGCCGUGUGGGGGAGGAAGGCCUUCGGGUUGUAAACCCCUUUUCUCGGAGAAGAACGCUCGAAGCUAAACCCUUCGGGCCUGACGGUAUCCGAGGAAUAAGCCCCGGCUAACUCCGUGCCAGCAGCCGCGGUAAGACGGAGGGGGCAAGCGUUGUCCGGAAUUACUGGGCGUAAAGGGCGCGUAGGCGGGGCUGUAAGUCGGCGGUGAAAGGUCCACAGCUCAACUGGGACACUGCCGCCGAGACUGCGGCCCUUGAGUACGGGAGAGGGAAGUGGAAUGGCUGGUGUAGCGGUGAAAUGCGUAGAGAUCAGCCAGAACACCCGUGGCGAAGGCGGCUUCCUGGACCGAGACUGACGCUGAGGCGCGAAAGCUAGGGGAGCGAACGGGAUUAGAAACCCUUGUAGUCC